This is a non-coding RNA of Dipodomys ordii (Ord's kangaroo rat), 146 nucleotides long. The record is from Rfam. Lineage: Eukaryota; Metazoa; Chordata; Mammalia; Rodentia; Heteromyidae.
AGCUUUGCGCAGUGGCAGUAUCGUAGCCAAUGAGGUUUAUCCGAGGCGCGAUUAUUGCUAAUUGAAAAAGAAAGAUGUGCACAUAUAUCUGUGGGUGUAUGUAUUAAAAUAAUCAUUAUCCUUGUAUUUUUGUUGUAUGAUGGUGC